Molecule: ribosomal RNA, 501 nt
Filed under: uncultured bacterium
Lineage: Bacteria
Description: partial 16S ribosomal RNA
Rfam family: Bacterial small subunit ribosomal RNA
Source: RNAcentral
AUUGAACGCUGGCGGCAGGCUUAACACAUGCAAGUCAAGCGGGGGAAGGUAGCUUGCUACCGGACCUAGCGGCGGACGGGUGAGUAAUGCUUAGGAAUCUGCCUAUUAGUGGGGGACAACAUCUCGAAAGGGAUGCUAAUACCGCAUACGUCCUACGGGAGAAAGCAGGGGAUCUUCGGACCUUGCGCUAAUAGAUGAGCCUAAGUCGGAUUAGCUAGUUGGUGGGGUAAAGGCCUACCAAGGCGACGAUCUGUAGCGGGUCUGAGAGGAUGAGCCGCCACACUGGGACUGGAACACGGCCCAGACUCCUACGGGAGGGAGCAAUGGGGAAUAUUGGACAAUGGGGGGAACCCUGAUCCAGCCAUGCCGCGUGUGUGAAGAAGGCCUUAUGGUUGUAAAGCACUUUAAGCGAGGAGGAGGCUACUCUAGUUAAUACCUAGGGAUAGUGGACGUUACUCGCAGAAUAAGCACCGGCUAACUCUGUGCCAGCCGCCGCCGUAA